AACGAACGCUGGCGGCGCGCCUAAUACAUGCAAGUCGAGCGAGAAGACGUAGCAAUACGUUUGUAAAGCGGCGAACGGGUGAGGAAUACAUGGGUAACCUACCCUCGAGUGGGGAUAACUAGCCGAAGGUUAGCUAAUACCGCGUACGCUCCUUGGACUUCGGUUCAGGGAGGAAAGCGAUACCGUGGGUAUCGCGCUCUUGGAUGGGCUCAUGUCCUAUCAGCUUGUUGGUGAGGUAACGGCUCACCAAGGCUUCGACGGGUAGCUGGUCUGAGAGGACGAUCAGCCACACUGGCACUGCGACACGGGCCAGACUCCUACGGGAGGCAGCAGUAAGGAAUAUUGCGCAAUGGGCGAAAGCCUGACGCAGCGACGCCGCGUGGGGGA
Molecule: ribosomal RNA, 387 nt
Filed under: uncultured bacterium
Lineage: Bacteria
Description: bacterial SSU rRNA
Rfam family: Bacterial small subunit ribosomal RNA
Source: RNAcentral